This 253-nucleotide ribosomal RNA is filed under the name uncultured bacterium. RNAcentral describes it as "partial 16S ribosomal RNA". It matches the Rfam family "Bacterial small subunit ribosomal RNA", at positions 524 to 776 of the family's 1533-position model. The record is from RNAcentral.
UACGGGGGGAGCAAGCGUUGUUCGGAUUUACUGGGCGUAAAGGGCGCGUAGGCGGCGCAACAAGUCACUUGUGAAAUCUCCGGGCUUAACUCGGAACGGUCAAGUGAUACUGUUGUGCUAGAGUGCGGAAGGGGCAACUGGAAUUCUCGGUGUAGCGGUGAAAUGCGUAGAUAUCGAGAGGAACACCUGCGGCGAAGGCGGGUUACUGGGCCGACACUGACGCUGAUGCGCGAAAGCCAGGGGAGCGAACGGG